This 440-nucleotide ribosomal RNA is filed under the name uncultured bacterium. RNAcentral describes it as "partial 16S ribosomal RNA". It matches the Rfam family "Bacterial small subunit ribosomal RNA", at positions 338 to 795 of the family's 1533-position model. The record is from RNAcentral.
CCUACGGGAGGCAGCAGUAGGGAAUAUUGCUCAAUGGGGGAAACCCUGAAGCAGCAACGCCGCGUGGAGGAUGAAGGUUUUCGGAUCGUAAACUCCUUUUGUUAGAGAAGAUAAUGACGGUAUCUAACGAAUAAGCACCGGCUAACUCCGUGCCAGCAGCCGCGGUAAUACGGAGGGUGCAAGCGUUACUCGGAAUCACUGGGCGUAAAGAGCGCGUAGGCGGGAUAGCAAGUCAGAUGUGAAAUCCUAUGGCUUAACCAUAGAACUGCAUUUGAAACUGUUAUUCUAGAGUAUGGGAGAGGUAGGUGGAAUUCUUGGUGUAGGGGUAAAAUCCGUAGAGAUCAAGAGGAAUACUCAUGGCGAAGGCGACCUGCUAGAACAUAACUGACGCUGAGGCGCGAAAGCGUGGGGAGCAAACAGGAUUAGAUACCCGAGUAGUC